UUAGUUGCCAUCAUUCAGUUGGGCACUCUAGCGAGACUGCCGGUAAUAAACCGGAGGAAGUGGGGAUGACGUCAAAUCAUCAUGCCCCUUAUGACCUGGGCUACACACGUGCUACAAUGGUUGGUACAACGAGUUGCGAGUCGGUGACGGCGAGCUAAUCUCUUAAAGCCAAUCUCAGUUCGGAUUGUAGGCUGCAACUCGCCUACAUGAAGUCGGAAUCGCUAGUAAUCGCGGAUCAGCACGCCGCGGUGAAUACGUUCCCGGGCCUU
RNAcentral lists this ribosomal RNA (269 nucleotides) under uncultured Streptococcus sp. RNAcentral describes it as "partial 16S ribosomal RNA". It matches the Rfam family "Bacterial small subunit ribosomal RNA", at positions 1111 to 1382 of the family's 1533-position model. The record is from RNAcentral. Lineage: Bacteria; Bacillati; Bacillota; Bacilli; Lactobacillales; Streptococcaceae.